CCGUCUUGAAACACGGACCAAGGAGUCUAACAUGUGCGCGAGUCACUCGGUCUUGUUUAGGCCAGAGAGGCGCAAUGAAAGUAAAGUUUAUUGAGUUACGAUCCUUACGCAGUUAUCCCUUGUGGGUAACGGUAGGGCGCAGUAACAGCCCGCCAGUUUCGCCUAUUGACGAUGUGGCGGAGUUGUAGCGUACACGUUGGUACCCGAAAGAUGGUGAACUAUGCCUGGGCAAGACGAAGCCAGAGGAAACUCUGGUGGAGGUCUGUAGCGAUUCUGACGUGCAAAUCGAUCGUCAGACCUGGGUAUAGGGGCGAAAGACUAAUCGAACCAUCUAGUAGCUGGUUCCUUCC
RNAcentral lists this ribosomal RNA (350 nucleotides) under Halozetes capensis. RNAcentral describes it as "partial large subunit ribosomal RNA". It matches the Rfam family "Eukaryotic large subunit ribosomal RNA", at positions 649 to 962 of the family's 3401-position model. Lineage: Eukaryota; Metazoa; Arthropoda; Arachnida; Sarcoptiformes; Ameronothridae. The record is from RNAcentral.